RNAcentral lists this ribosomal RNA (2900 nucleotides) under Klebsiella pneumoniae. RNAcentral describes it as "23S ribosomal RNA". It matches the Rfam family "Bacterial large subunit ribosomal RNA". The record is from RNAcentral. Lineage: Bacteria; Pseudomonadati; Pseudomonadota; Gammaproteobacteria; Enterobacterales; Enterobacteriaceae.
GGUUAAGCGACUAAGCGUACACGGUGGAUGCCCUGGCAGUCAGAGGCGAUGAAGGACGUGCUAAUCUGCGAAAAGCGUCGGUAAGGUGAUAUGAACCGUUACAGCCGGCGAUGUCCGAAUGGGGAAACCCAGUGCAAUUCGUUGCACUAUCGUUAACUGAAUACAUAGGUUAACGAGGCGAACCGGGGGAACUGAAACAUCUAAGUACCCCGAGGAAAAGAAAUCAACCGAGAUUCCCCCAGUAGCGGCGAGCGAACGGGGAGCAGCCCAGAGUCUGAAUCAGCUUGUGUGUUAGUGGAACGGUCUGGAAAGUCCGACGGUACAGGGUGAUAGUCCCGUACACCAAAAUGCACAGGUUGUGAACUCGAAGAGUAGGGCGGGACACGUGGUAUCCUGUCUGAAUAUGGGGGGACCAUCCUCCAAGGCUAAAUACUCCUGACUGACCGAUAGUGAACCAGUACCGUGAGGGAAAGGCGAAAAGAACCCCGGCGAGGGGAGUGAAAAAGAACCUGAAACCGUGUACGUACAAGCAGUGGGAGCACCUUCGGGUGUGACUGCGUACCUUUUGUAUAAUGGGUCAGCGACUUAUAUUCUGUAGCAAGGUUAACCGUAUAGGGGAGCCGCAGGGAAACCGAGUCUUAACUGGGCGUUAAGUUGCAGGGUAUAGACCCGAAACCCGGUGAUCUAGCCAUGGGCAGGUUGAAGGUUGGGUAACACUAACUGGAGGACCGAACCGACUAAUGUUGAAAAAUUAGCGGAUGACUUGUGGCUGGGGGUGAAAGGCCAAUCAAACCGGGAGAUAGCUGGUUCUCCCCGAAAGCUAUUUAGGUAGCGCCUCGUGAACUCAUCUUCGGGGGUAGAGCACUGUUUCGGCUAGGGGGUCAUCCCGACUUACCAACCCGAUGCAAACUACGAAUACCGAAGAAUGUUAUCACGGGACACACGGCGGGUGCUAACGUCCGUCGUGAAGAGGGAAACAACCCAGACCGCCAGCUAAGGUCCCAAAGUCAUGGUUAAGUGGGAAACGAUGUGGGAAGGCACAGACAGCCAGGAUGUUGGCUUAGAAGCAGCCAUCAUUUAAAGAAAGCGUAAUAGCUCACUGGUCGAGUCGGCCUGCGCGGAAGAUGUAACGGGGCUAAACCAUGCACCGAAGCUGCGGCAGCGACACUAUGUGUUGUUGGGUAGGGGAGCGUUCUGUAAGCCUGCGAAGGUGUGCUGUGAGGCAUGCUGGAGGUAUCAGAAGUGCGAAUGCUGACAUAAGUAACGAUAAAGCGGGUGAAAAGCCCGCUCGCCGGAAGACCAAGGGUUCCUGUCCAACGUUAAUCGGGGCAGGGUGAGUCGACCCCUAAGGCGAGGCCGAAAGGCGUAGUCGAUGGGAAACAGGUUAAUAUUCCUGUACUUGGUGUUACUGCGAAGGGGGGACGGAGAAGGCUAUGUUAGCCGGGCGACGGUUGUCCCGGUUUAAGCAUGUAGGCUGGUUAUCCAGGCAAAUCCGGAUAAUCAAGGCUGAGGUGUGAUGACGAGGCACUACGGUGCUGAAGUAACAAAUGCCCUGCUUCCAGGAAAAGCCUCUAAGCAUCAGGUAACAUCAAAUCGUACCCCAAACCGACACAGGUGGUCAGGUAGAGAAUACCAAGGCGCUUGAGAGAACUCGGGUGAAGGAACUAGGCAAAAUGGUGCCGUAACUUCGGGAGAAGGCACGCUGGUGUGUAGGUGAAGUCCCUGCGGAUGGAGCUGAGACCAGUCGAAGAUACCAGCUGGCUGCAACUGUUUAUUAAAAACACAGCACUGUGCAAACACGAAAGUGGACGUAUACGGUGUGACGCCUGCCCGGUGCCGGAAGGUUAAUUGAUGGGGUUAUCCGUAAGGAGAAGCUCUUGAUCGAAGCCCCGGUAAACGGCGGCCGUAACUAUAACGGUCCUAAGGUAGCGAAAUUCCUUGUCGGGUAAGUUCCGACCUGCACGAAUGGCGUAAUGAUGGCCAGGCUGUCUCCACCCGAGACUCAGUGAAAUUGAACUCGCUGUGAAGAUGCAGUGUACCCGCGGCAAGACGGAAAGACCCCGUGAACCUUUACUAUAGCUUGACACUGAACAUUGAGCCUUGAUGUGUAGGAUAGGUGGGAGGCUUUGAAGCGUGGACGCCAGUCUGCGUGGAGCCAACCUUGAAAUACCACCCUUUAAUGUUUGAUGUUCUAACGUUGGCCCCUGACCGGGGUUGCGGACAGUGUCUGGUGGGUAGUUUGACUGGGGCGGUCUCCUCCCAAAGCGUAACGGAGGAGCACGAAGGUUAGCUAAUCCUGGUCGGACAUCAGGAGGUUAGUGCAAUGGCAUAAGCUAGCUUGACUGCGAGCGUGACGGCGCGAGCAGGUGCGAAAGCAGGUCAUAGUGAUCCGGUGGUUCUGAAUGGAAGGGCCAUCGCUCAACGGAUAAAAGGUACUCCGGGGAUAACAGGCUGAUACCGCCCAAGAGUUCAUAUCGACGGCGGUGUUUGGCACCUCGAUGUCGGCUCAUCACAUCCUGGGGCUGAAGUAGGUCCCAAGGGUAUGGCUGUUCGCCAUUUAAAGUGGUACGCGAGCUGGGUUUAGAACGUCGUGAGACAGUUCGGUCCCUAUCUGCCGUGGGCGCUGGAGAAUUGAGGGGGGCUGCUCCUAGUACGAGAGGACCGGAGUGGACGCAUCACUGGUGUUCGGGUUGUCAUGCCAAUGGCACUGCCCGGUAGCUAAAUGCGGAAGAGAUAAGUGCUGAAAGCAUCUAAGCACGAAACUUGCCCCGAGAUGAGUUCUCCCUGAGACUAUAAGUCUCCUGAAGGAACGUUGAAGACGACGACGUUGAUAGGCCGGGUGUGUAAGCGCAGCGAUGCGUUGAGCUAACCGGUACUAAUGAACCGUGAGGCUUAACCUU